Molecule: ribosomal RNA, 516 nt
Filed under: uncultured Glomus
Lineage: Eukaryota; Fungi; Glomeromycota; Glomeromycetes; Glomerales; Glomeraceae
Description: SSU rRNA
Rfam family: Eukaryotic small subunit ribosomal RNA
Source: RNAcentral
GUAUUCCGCUCCAUAGCGUAUAUUAAAGUUGUUGCCGUUAAAAAGCUCGUAGUUGAAUUUCGGGAUCAAGGAAUCGGUCAUGCCUUGGUAUGUACUGGUUUUAUUGGUUCUCACCUUCUAAAGAACCAUAAUGUCAUUCAUUUGAUGUUAUGGGGAAUUAGGACUGUUACCUUGAAAAAAUUAGAGUGUUUAAAGCAGGCUUACGCUUGAAUACAUUAGCAUGGAAUAAUGAAAUAGGACAUCAGAUUCUAUUUUGUUGGUUUCUAGGAUCGAUGUAAUGAUUAAUAGGGAUAGUUGGGGGCAUUAGUAUUCAAUUGUCAGAGGUGAAAUUCUUGGAUUUAUUGAAGACUAACUACUGCGAAAGCAUUUGCCAAGGAUGUUUUCAUUAAUCAAGAACGAAAGUUAGGGGAUCGAAGACGAUCAGAUACCGUCGUAGUCUUAACCAUAAACUAUGCCGACUAGGGAUCGGAUGAUGUUAAUUUUAUAAUGACUCAUUCGGCACCUUACGGGAAACAA